UGGGGAAUUUUGGACAAUGGGCGAAAGCCUGAUCCAGCCAUGCCGCGUGAGUGAAGAAGGCCUUCGGGUUGUAAGCUCUUUUAGUCGGAAAGAAAGAGUUGCAAUGAAUAAUUGUGAUUUAUGACGGUACCGACAGUAAAAGCACCGGCUAACUACGUGCCAGCAGCCGCGGUAAUACGUAGGGUGCGAGCGUUAAUCGGAAUUACUGGGCGUAAAGGGUGCGCAGGCGGUCUUGCAAGUCAGAUGUGAAAGCCCCGGGCUUAACCUGGGAAUUGCGUUUGAAACUACAAGGCUAGAGUGCAGCAGAGGGGAGUGGAAUUCCAUGUGUAGCAGUGAAAUGCGUAGAGAUGUGGAAGAACACCGAUGGCGAAGGCAGCUCCCUGGGUUGACACUGACGCUCAUGCACGAAAGCGUGGGGAGCAAACA
This 426-nucleotide ribosomal RNA is filed under the name uncultured beta proteobacterium. Its description in RNAcentral is "bacterial SSU rRNA". It matches the Rfam family "Bacterial small subunit ribosomal RNA", at positions 355 to 774 of the family's 1533-position model. Lineage: Bacteria; Pseudomonadati; Pseudomonadota; Betaproteobacteria. The record is from RNAcentral.